AUUGAACGCUGGCGGCAGGCCUAACACAUGCAAGUCGAGCGGAGCGGCGGACGGGUGAGUAAUGCCUAGGAAUCUGCCUGGUAGUGGGGGAUAACGUCCGGAAACGGGCGCUAAUACCGCAUACUAUCAGAUGAGCCUAGGUCGGAUUAGCUAGUUGGGGGGGUGAAGGCCUACCAAGGGGACGAUCCGUAACUGGUCUGAGAGGAUGAUCAGUCAACGUGGACCGGAGACACAGUCCAGACUCCUACGUGAGGCAGCAGUGGUGAAUAUUGGACAAUUGGCGAAGGCCUGAUCCGGCCAGGCCGCGUGUGUGAAGAAGGUCUUCGGAUUGUAAAGCACUUUAAGUUGGGAGGCGUUACCAACAGAAUAAGCACCGGCUAACUUCGUGCCAGCAGCCGCGGUAAUUC
This 407-nucleotide ribosomal RNA is filed under the name uncultured bacterium. Its description in RNAcentral is "partial 16S ribosomal RNA". It matches the Rfam family "Bacterial small subunit ribosomal RNA", at positions 30 to 526 of the family's 1533-position model. The record is from RNAcentral.